Molecule: long non-coding RNA, 1490 nt
Organism: Triticum dicoccoides
Lineage: Eukaryota; Viridiplantae; Streptophyta; Magnoliopsida; Poales; Poaceae
Exons: 3
Source: RefSeq, a predicted model, not a curated record
UAUCCCCGAAUCUGAGACCAAACCCAAAUAACACCAGCUCCAUCCCCACAUCCCCUCCACCGUCGCCCUCUCGCAACACCCCUCGUCCCUGCCGCCGGCGAUGAUAGCUCGGCCGCCGCCCUCCGUCCGCCCGCCGCCCUAACCCCCGCCCUCGACCACAUCCCCCGACCUCGAGCUCCACAUCCCCGGCCCCUGCUUCGGCCGCCGCCGCCCCUUUUCUCUCCCGCAAAGCCCCUUGUCCAGAUCUAUCAGCCGCAGGCCCGUUUCAUUGGUGGGCAGCCGGUGGCCUUCGAGGCCAGAGGAACUGGUCUUUGCUAGGUAAAGGGCCGAUGAUGGCAUCCGCAAUUGUUCUUCCAAACACGAGCAACAUCCUGUGUCUCUCAUAGAUCGACCUGCUAGUUUGCUUCAACCUGUGAGCUGUAUUGUUGGUAGCUACGUUGGAGUGAUUGAACAUGUUGUUAGUCUGAACCUAAACUGAUCCCUGCUUAGUUAGUCAGUCCCUUUGUUUAAGAUUAGGCUCUGGCAUUAUGAAGGUUACUUGUUGGAUCUGUGGUGCUACUGAGAAGUGCACAAUCCAACCUUAUUUUAUUCCAGUUUCUAAUUUGUUGGUCAGAUCGAUGGCUACAGGGAUGGGUUACUUUAAAUUUCUGAAUUAUAAGAUUGCAAGUUUCUGAAAUGUCGGUCUAGAUUGCAUGUGUAACCAGCUAUACAGAUGAUAUCGCUAGAAUUAGUAAUAAAUCUAGAGUACCACUUUUCUCGUAGCCCUUGGAUAAAAUUCAUAGAUUAUGGUGGACAGAUUAGUAGCCCUUGGAUAAAAUGGUCUGAUUGGAAAUAACCUGAACCCGCCUUCUCCAUGUGCGCUACCAGUACGUACGUAGCGAUAAUCUAUGAAUUUUUCAUCAGCGUCCGUCGUGCGUCUGUUGGGAGGGAAAAAGAACAGAUCGAUGGUGUUUGGGAAAGGAUUACAUGCAAGCGCUUGCGCACAGUGAGAUAACAGAUCCAGACCCGUUUACUUUGUUCUUCCCUUAGUAGUUCGCCAUAGGCUGCGGUGCUUAUCAUUGAAUCUUCACUUUUUUCUUUGUUCCCAUAUGGUUGCGGACAGGCCUGACGGCUGAAGCUAGCUUGAUUGGUGUGUUCCUUGCAAGUCAGCUGUGUUGCGCUUCACAUCUAGGCAUGAAUGUGUGUAUCUCUAUCUUCUUUUAUUAACCGGUAAUCAGCCACCUAGUAUUCAUGGAUGUGAUGACUUUGGAGUGUUAUGGAGCAUUUGGUUGACUGGAGUAUUUUGGACCAGCCAACUUAAUUGUAAUCAUGAAUCUUAUGUAUGUUCUGGACCAUUUGGUGUUCAAGUGUUAUGGAGUAGAAAUCAUGUGGAUGUGACUUAAGUGUUUGGACCAUUUAGUGUUCGAACACUUUUAGACCAUCAAAUAAGGGUCCUUUUAUGUGACUUGUGUUUUCUGGAUGUUUGCCAAGAUGGCCAAACUUUGCUUUGU